This 266-nucleotide long non-coding RNA is filed under the name Physcomitrium patens. RNAcentral's name for it is "long non-coding RNA (PPAT_LNC013498)". Lineage: Eukaryota; Viridiplantae; Streptophyta; Bryopsida; Funariales; Funariaceae. The record is from RNAcentral.
GCAUAAUCAUCACCUCCAUAUUCAUCAUGAGCAUUGUUUGCACUUUUUCUAUCUCUUUUCUUAGCCUUGUAAAAAUUUCGAAUAAAGUGACCUGAUUUUCCACAAAUAAAGCAAGUUCUCACACUGCCACAUUGAUUGAGAUGACUCCUCUUGCCUUGCCUUGAAAAGAGAGCCGAAUCCUCACUUUGGGGCUCUUUUUCUUUUCUCUUGAUCACUUCAUGGGCAAGUCUUGCCAUCACAUAAUCCAUUGUGAAUUCUUUUACUUU